RNAcentral lists this long non-coding RNA (684 nucleotides) under Homo sapiens (human). Its description in RNAcentral is "HSALNT0165745". The record is from RNAcentral. Lineage: Eukaryota; Metazoa; Chordata; Mammalia; Primates; Hominidae.
UAAAAUAAGGUUAUUUACUUCAAAAUGAUACAUUGGACAUAAUCUGUAUAUAGAACAAAGCAAGUAAUGGUAAACUCUUAAGGCACCUUUUAAACCAGAUGCUGUACAAAAUACAUUUAGUGUGUUACACGUCAAAGACGAAUCUAUAUUUUUGGUGUUUUACAACUGCCUGAUAAAACUGCUUGCUUUUACCCUUCUUUCAAUGCCUAUGUACAGUUUCCCCUAAUGAAGCAAUAAUGAUAUUUCCAUUUUAUACAAUAUAUACUACAUUUUAGUUUUUAAAUGGGCCAGGACAAAGGUCACUAAAAGGGCUUAAAUAAUUCCAUAGAAAACAGAAUACAGAGCAUAAGCUAAAAUUACAAUAGUUAAUCCUUUACAAGAGCCAUAUUCACAUACUUUCCUUAUGGGACCAUCAUUACACGUGGCUUCACAGGAUGCUGUGCUGGAUUUUGGUUCUUAGGAACACACCUCCUCCCUGCAGUUUCCACUGUGACUCUCACAGCAGCACACUAAGGCAAGAGACGAGCUGUGGCACUGCUAUUUUAACACCUGACUCAAAGUCAGUAAUAAAUAUGACCACUUUUAAACACUACAAGGGCUAUCAUAAUCUUUUGUUAAAAUAAAAAUCAUUUCUGCUGUUGAAAUGAUUUUAGCAAGUUAACAUCCUUAUUCCACUCUAAUUCC